RNAcentral lists this ribosomal RNA (401 nucleotides) under uncultured bacterium. Its description in RNAcentral is "bacterial SSU rRNA". It matches the Rfam family "Bacterial small subunit ribosomal RNA", at positions 29 to 426 of the family's 1533-position model. The record is from RNAcentral.
AUUGAACGCUGGCGGCGUGCUUAACGCAUGCAAGUCGAUCGGUAACAGGUGUAGCAAUACAUGCUGACGAGAGGCGGACGGGUGAGUAAUGCUUGGGAAUCUGCCUGUUAGUGGGGGACGAACCCGGGAAACGUCGGGCUAAUACCGCAUACGCUCUACGGAGGAAAGACCGGGGACCGCAAGGCCUGGCGCUAAUAGAUGAGCCCAAGUCGGAUUAGCUAGUUGGUAGGGUAACGGCCUACCAAGGCGACAAUCCGUAGCUGGUCUGAGAGGACGACCAGCCACACCGGAACUGAGACACGGUCCGGACUCCUACGGGAGGCAGCAGUGGGGAAUAUUGGACAAUGGGGGCGAACCCUGAUCCAGCGACGCCGCGUGGGUGAAGAAGGCCUGCGGGUUGU